Long non-coding RNA from Gallus gallus (chicken), 1340 nucleotides. RefSeq lists it as uncharacterized. Lineage: Eukaryota; Metazoa; Chordata; Aves; Galliformes; Phasianidae. The record is from RefSeq and is a predicted model, not a curated record. The transcript is spliced from 4 exons.
UGCUGCCCGGCGCUUUGCCGUCUCCCAGGGCUCACCAAGUCCAAAUGUUCCCUGAUGGAGUCCAACUCCAGCUUGACCAACACUCACCCGGUCUGUCCCCGCACCAGCUGGCUUAGGGCUCCCCAGCAGUGCUGGCUGUCGGUGCCUUCUGUCGCUCCCAGUCAGCACGGCUCUGUUCUUUGCUUUUUGGGUUCCAGAGCGUUUGCUACAGGUUAUGGAGUGUUUCUCUUCUCUCUCUUCUUGUCCUCCAUGUUGCCUGUUGGCGCCUCGGUGGAGUUUCAGUGACCCAAAUGCAGACUGCUCUGCGUUGCCCAAGCGUGAUGCCAAGAGAAGAGGAUAGGAGACUCUGCCGUCAGAUGGCGUUGCCUGUUCUUCUCUCCCCAGUUUGCAGAGUUGGAUGUGACCUCAGCACUGGAUAAGGGGUAAGUGAUUCCUCCAUCCUGACCAGAAGGUAAUCUCUACUUGUCUUGUGCUGUGUGGAACAGGUUGCAGUGGAGAAGUGCAGUUGUCCGGGGCGCUGCAAGGACUCUAUUGAGGCAUUUGGUGGACGCCGCAGGAACCCACAGCCAGAGGUGGAUGCCAAGAUGCACAUCUUCCUCUGUCUGGCAAGCUCUGCUGACCCCUGAGGUUUUUCCCACGCUUGCAGAGGAUGGAAAUGUACACCUGGUUGGAUCUACGAUGACCCAAAUGCAAUCUAGUAAGGUUUGGCCAAGUGUGGUGGGAAAGGAAGAUGUAGGCUCCUAAGCAAACUUCUGGAUUGGGGACACCAGCACCAGAUGCUCUUGCACUUCCUGACCUCCCUGGGUGGCAGCAUUGGAAGUGCCUGGACCCUUGGAAAGGGCUAAGUGAUUCCUUCAUCAUUACCAGAAUGUAGUUUGUGUUCAGCAGGUGACGAUGGAGAACUGUGGCCUUCUGUUCAGCGCAAAAAGUCUACUGAGGAUCUAGGUGGACAGAACAGGAACGCAGAGCAAUAGUUGGAUGCCAAUAUGCACAUCUUCCUCUGUCUGGCAAGCUCUGCUGACCCCUGAGGUCGUUUCCAUGCUUGCAGAGGUCCUAUCUGCUUGGUGUCGGUUGUGUCUUGUGUUCACUUGGCUUUCACCGGGUGUUGUUGCCUUAUAAUAUUUUCCCAACCUGUUUCCAAGCAGGAGGUCCCCUUGGCCUCCAUGUCUCGCUCUGGCCAGGCAGAUGUGGUGCGCCAACGGUAUGCAGAGUCCAGACCCUGAGCAGAACAACUGAGGAGAGAGGCUGCCCUGGGUGAGACAGGAGAAGUGCCCCUUGAAGCGGGGGACGCCCCGCUGGCGCUGCCUCUCGCAUCCACCGGCAGCCAGCACGUUCCUUCU